This 252-nucleotide ribosomal RNA is filed under the name Clostridioides difficile. RNAcentral describes it as "partial 23S ribosomal RNA". It matches the Rfam family "Bacterial large subunit ribosomal RNA", at positions 1772 to 2023 of the family's 2925-position model. The record is from RNAcentral. Lineage: Bacteria; Bacillati; Bacillota; Clostridia; Peptostreptococcales; Peptostreptococcaceae.
GGUGGCCGCAGAGAAUAGGCCCAAGCGACUGUUUACCAAAAACAUAGGUUUCUGCUAAGUCGCAAGACGAUGUAUAGGAGCUGACGCCUGCCCGGUGCUGGAAGGUUAAGGGGAUCUGUUAGAGCAAUCGAAGCAGUGAACUUAAGCCCCAGUAAACGGCGGCCGUAACUAUAACGGUCCUAAGGUAGCGAAAUUCCUUGUCGGGUAAGUUCCGACCCGCACGAAAGGCGUAACGAUUUGGGCACUGUCUCA